RNAcentral lists this ribosomal RNA (253 nucleotides) under uncultured bacterium. Its description in RNAcentral is "partial 16S ribosomal RNA". It matches the Rfam family "Bacterial small subunit ribosomal RNA", at positions 524 to 776 of the family's 1533-position model. The record is from RNAcentral.
CACGUAGGGUGCAAGCGUUGUCCGGAAUUAUUGGGCGUAAAGGGCGCGUAGGCGGCUCGGCACGUCCGUUGUGAAAUCGCCCGGCUCAACUGGGCGGGGUCAGCGGAUACGGUCGAGCUUGAGCAAGCUAGGGGGCAAUGGAAUUCCCGGUGUAGUGGUGGAAUGCGUAGAUAUCGGGAGGAACACCAGUGGCGAAGGCGGUUGCCUGGGGCUUUGCUGACGCUGAUGCGCGAAAGCGUGGGGAGCGAUCCGG